GUGGCUUCUGGUAAACUCGUCAAGGUUAAGAGUUCGUACAAACUUCCAGCUGCACGAUCUGCAGCUCCAAAGGCUGCUGCUACUGCGCCGGCGAAGAAGAAGCCGGCAGCUAAGCCGAAAGCAACAAAGGCAAAACCGAAGCCAAAACCUAAGACUGUUGCUCCAAAGGCAAAAACUGCUACUAAACCAAAGGCAAAGCCAAAGGCGAAGGUGAAGGCGAAGCUUGUUGCUAAAGCUAAGCCUGCUGUGAAGCCUAAGGCGGCAGCUGUAGCGAAGCCGAAAGCUGCGGAGAAGCCUAAAACUCCUGUAAAAACUAAGGCUGCAGCUAAGCCAAAG
This 336-nucleotide long non-coding RNA is filed under the name Nicotiana tabacum (common tobacco). RNAcentral describes it as "long non-coding RNA (NTAB_LNC004545)". Lineage: Eukaryota; Viridiplantae; Streptophyta; Magnoliopsida; Solanales; Solanaceae. The record is from RNAcentral.